AUUGAACGCUGGCGGCAGGCCUAACACAUGCAAGUCGAACGAGUGGCGGACGGGUGAGUAAUGUCUGGGAAACUGCCCGAUGGAGGGGGCUAACUACUGGAAACGGUAGCUACUACCGCAUACCAUCGGAUGUGCCCAGAUGGGAUUAGCUAGUCGGUGGGGUAACGGCUCACCUAGGCGACGAUCCCUAGCUGGGCUGUGAGGGUGACCAGCCAAACUGGAACGGAGACACGGUCCAGACUCCUACGGGAGGCAGAAGGGGGGAAUAUUGCACAAGGGGCGCAAGCCUGAUGCAGCCAAGCCGCGUGUAUGAAGAAGGCCUUCGGGUUGUAAAGUACUUUCAGCGAGGAGGCGUUACUCGAAGAAGAAGCACCGGCUAACUCCGUGCCAGCAGCCGCGGUAAUAC
RNAcentral lists this ribosomal RNA (406 nucleotides) under uncultured bacterium. Its description in RNAcentral is "partial 16S ribosomal RNA". It matches the Rfam family "Bacterial small subunit ribosomal RNA", at positions 29 to 526 of the family's 1533-position model. The record is from RNAcentral.